CCCGGCUCUCCCACCGCCUGGCUCUCCUACCCCCGGGCUCUCCCACCCCCAUCUCUCCCACUGACGGGCUCUCCCACCGACGGGUUCACUCCUUGCAGGCAGGCGCCGGGUUUCACCUGCUGCCUACCACGGGCCAGCAGCUUCUCGGAGCCCCCGCCCCCUGUCUUUCUGCGGGGACGUAUUUCCUAGGAGAGGUCGCAGCCCCUGAGGCUCUGGCGUACCUGGAGGGGGUCCCUGGGGGCCCUCUGGGAUUUGCUCCUGUGCCCCCCCCAUCCUGGUCAGCUCAGCGGGGGAGGCUGAGCUCUGUGACACCCCCCCCUCCGUCAUCCCUGCGCAGGUGCUGUCAGCCGGGCUUGGGUGGGGGGACUUCCCUGGACGGUCCCUCACCGGCCUGUCUUCCUUCCCGCCACGUAUCAGCAGGGACGUCUCUCCACGCGCCCCUCUCCCCGCGGGCGGCCCCGUCUCUUCUCCCGCGGGCGGCCCCACAAUCUGUGUGCCGUGUGCACGAGGAGGCUGCCUCCCGGAGCCCGGGCACCGGAUGCCACGGCCUGGCCGGCGCUGCUGCAGCUCUGGUGCCCCCUCCCAGCAGGCGCCCGUUACACCCUGAUGCCCCCCAGUACCCUGAGGCCCCCGGCACCCCGAGUCGCCCAUCCCCCUGCACCCGAGGGCUUGCACAGGCGCCCCCCGCCUGGCGCCCUGCUACGGAGGGACGUGUCCGUGAUGCCCCCGCGUGUCCACAGAGCGCACCCCUCUACCUGUGUCCCCGCCCCCCGCAGCCCGGUGUGCGGGAGAGCUCCGGGGCGGCUGCAGUGUCACGUCGGGGGGGGGGGGCNGGGGCCUCGGGGUGUAAGAGGGGGAGCCCCGCACGACCCGGUGCAGGUGUGUCGGAGAGCUCCGGGGCUGCUGCCAGAAGCGCUUCCCGCUCGUGGAGCCGUGUCCUCGUGUCCCGUGGGUUCACAGCGGCGGUCAGCCAAACAUCAAACCUUCCCAUUUCACCGUUUGGAUGAACAAUGUAUGAGGCAAAAAAAAAGGGACAAGUAAUAGCUUGAUACCUUUCUAAAAGGUAAUUUUUAAAAUUCUUGAUUCUUAGAAAUAUCAGACUUGCUUAAAGGCAUGAGAUCUUGGGUGGUGCGUUUGGCUGAGCGGCUAACUCUUGGUUUGAUCCUCAGGUGAUGAUUGCAUGAUGCUCUCUCUCUCUCUCUAAAAUAAAAAAUAUUAAAAAGACUGAGAUGUUACA
RNAcentral lists this long non-coding RNA (1237 nucleotides) under Vulpes vulpes (red fox). RNAcentral describes it as "lncRNA (ENSVVUG00000008191.1)". The record is from RNAcentral. Lineage: Eukaryota; Metazoa; Chordata; Mammalia; Carnivora; Canidae.